CCCUCAUUAGCUCAACGGCAGAGCGGAAUACUUCUAAUAUUCAGAUUUUAGUUCGACUCUAAAAGGAGAUA
Molecule: transfer RNA, 71 nt
Organism: Rosellinia necatrix
Lineage: Eukaryota; Fungi; Ascomycota; Sordariomycetes; Xylariales; Xylariaceae
Rfam family: tRNA
About the family: Transfer RNA (tRNA) molecules are approximately 80 nucleotides in length. Their secondary structure includes four short double-helical elements and three loops (D, anti-codon, and T loops). Further hydrogen bonds mediate the characteristic L-shaped molecular structure. tRNAs have two regions of fundamental functional importance: the anti-codon, which is responsible for specific mRNA codon recognition, and the 3' end, to which the tRNAs corresponding amino acid is attached (by aminoacyl-tRNA synthetases). tRNAs cope with the degeneracy of the genetic code in two manners: having more than one tRNA (with a specific anti-codon) for a particular amino acid; and 'wobble' base-pairing, i.e. permitting non-standard base-pairing at the 3rd anti-codon position.
Source: Rfam